CCCUUAGAUGUCCUGGGCCGCACGCGUGCUACACUGACGGAUCCAACAAGUUUGCUCAUAUCACCUGCGCCGAAAGGUGUAGGAAAUCUAGCAAUGUCCGUCGUGAUAGGGAUCGACCCUUGCAACUUGGUCGUGAACGAGGAAUUCCUUGUAAGCGCGAGUCAUCAUCUCGCGUUGAAUACGUCCCUGCCCUUUGUACACACCGCCCGUCGCUCCUACCGAUGGAUGGUCCGGUGAAAUCUUCGGAUAUGCUCCUGCAACAUGCUUGCCAUGUUCAUCGCGCAUAGAAGUUGAUUAAACUUUAUCAUCUAGAGGAAGGAGAAGUCGUAACA
This 332-nucleotide ribosomal RNA is filed under the name uncultured eukaryote. RNAcentral's name for it is "partial 18S ribosomal RNA". It matches the Rfam family "Eukaryotic small subunit ribosomal RNA", at positions 1470 to 1796 of the family's 1831-position model. The record is from RNAcentral.